RNAcentral lists this ribosomal RNA (494 nucleotides) under uncultured bacterium. RNAcentral's name for it is "partial 16S ribosomal RNA". It matches the Rfam family "Bacterial small subunit ribosomal RNA", at positions 28 to 507 of the family's 1533-position model. The record is from RNAcentral.
GACGAACGCUGGCGGCGUGCUUAACACAUGCAAGUCGAACGGUGAAGCGCCUUCCUUUUUGGUGGGUGUGGAUGAGUGGCGAACGGGUGAGUAACACGUGAGUAACCUGCCCCCUUCUUCUGGAUAACCGCAUGAAAGUGUGGCUAAUACGGGAUAUUCUGGGUCUGUCGCAUGAUGGGUCUGGGAAAGAUAUUGUUUCGGUGGGGGAUGGGCUCGCGGCCUAUCAGCUUGUUGGUGGGGUGAUGGCCUGCCAAGGCGGUGACGGGUAGCCGGCCUGAGAGGGUGGACGGUCACACUGGGACUGAGACACGGCCCAGACUCCUACGGGAGGCAGCAGUGGGGAAUAUUGCACAAUGGGCGCAAGCCUGAUGCAGCGACGCCGCGUGAGGGAUGGAGGCCUUCGGGUUGUGAACCUCUUUCGCCAGUGAAGCAGGCCUGCCUCGUUUGUGGGUGGGUUGACGGUAGCUGGAGAAGAAGCGCCGGCUAACUACGUG